UACGUAGGUGGCAAGCGUUUGUCCGGAUUUAUUGGUUUAAAGGGUGCGUAGGCGGUUAUAUAAGUCAGUGCUGAAAUAUCCCGGCUUAACCGGGGAGGGUGGCAUUGAUACUGUAUGACUUGAGUAAAGUUGAGGUUGGCGGAAUUGACGGUGUAGCGGUGAAAUGCUUAGAUAUCGUCAAGAACACCGAUUGCGAAGGCAGCUAACUAGCUUAACUUGACGCUGAGGCACGAAAAGUGUGGGGGAUCAAACAGG
RNAcentral lists this ribosomal RNA (255 nucleotides) under uncultured bacterium. Its description in RNAcentral is "partial 16S ribosomal RNA". It matches the Rfam family "Bacterial small subunit ribosomal RNA", at positions 524 to 776 of the family's 1533-position model. The record is from RNAcentral.